GAUGAACGCUGGCGGCGUGCCUAAUACAUGCAAGUAGAACGCUGAAGGAGGAGCUUGCUCUUCUGGAUGAGUUGCGAACGGGUGAGUAACGCGUAGGUAACCUGCCUGGUAGCGGGGGAUAACUAUUGGAAACGAUAGCUAAUACCGCAUGACAACAGUUAUUGCAUGAUAACUGUUUAAAAGGGGCAACUGCUCCACUACCAGAUGGACCUGCGUUGUAUUAGCUAGUUGGUGAGGUAACGGCUCACCAAGGCGACGAUACAUAGCCGACCUGAGAGGGUGAUCGGCCACACUGGGACUGAGACACGGCCCAGACUCCUACGGGAGGCAGCAGUAGGGAAUCUUCGGCAAUGGACGGAAGUCUGGCCGAGCAACGCCGCGUGAGUGAAGAAGGUUUUCGGAUCGUAAAGCUCUGUUGUAAGAGAAGAACGAGUGUGAGAGUGGAAAGUUCACACUGUGACGGUAUCUUACCAGAAAGGGACGGCUAACUACGUG
This 495-nucleotide ribosomal RNA is filed under the name uncultured bacterium. RNAcentral describes it as "partial 16S ribosomal RNA". It matches the Rfam family "Bacterial small subunit ribosomal RNA", at positions 28 to 507 of the family's 1533-position model. The record is from RNAcentral.